AAUUACUGGGCGUAAAGAGUACGUAGGCGGUUUUUUAAGUCAGAGGUGAAAUCCCGGAGCUCAACUCCGGAACUGCCUUUGAAACUGGAAAGCUAGAAUCAUGGAGAGGUUAGUGGAAUUCCGAGUGUAGAGGUGAAAUUCGUAGAUAUUCGGAAGAACACCAGUGGCGAAGGCGACUGACUGGACAUGUGUUGACGCUGAGGUACGAAAGCGUGGGGAGCAAACAGGAUUAGAUACCCUGGUAGUCCACGCCGUAAACGAUGAUAACUAGUUGUUCGGGCACAACGUGCUUGAGUGACGCAGCUAACGCAUUAAGUUAUCCGCCUGGGGAGUACGGUCGCAAGAUUAAAACUCAAAGGAAUUGACGGGGGCCUGCACAAGCGGUGGAGCAUGUGGUUUAAUUCGAAGGCGAGCGCGCAGAACCUUACCAGCGUUUGACAUCCUUGUCGCGGAUUUCAGAGAUGAUUUCCUUCAGUUCGGCUGGACAAGUGACAGGUGCUGCAUGGCUG
This 509-nucleotide ribosomal RNA is filed under the name uncultured bacterium. RNAcentral's name for it is "bacterial SSU rRNA". It matches the Rfam family "Bacterial small subunit ribosomal RNA", at positions 549 to 1051 of the family's 1533-position model. The record is from RNAcentral.